AGGGAAUCUUCCACAAUGGACGAAAGUCUGAUGGAGCAACGCCGCGUGAGUGAAGAAGGUUUUCGGAUCGUAAAGCUCUGUUAUUGGGGAAGAAAAAAAGACGGUACCCAAGAAGAAAGUCCCGGCUAACUACGUGCCAGCAGCCGCGGUAAUACGUAGGGGACAAGCGUUGUCCGGAUUUACUGGGCGUAAAGGGCACGCAGGCGGUUUUUUAAGUCAGAUGUGAAAGGUACCGGCUCAACCGGUGACAUGCAUUUGAAACUGAAAGACUUGAGUAUUGGAGAGGCAAGUGGAAUUCCUAGUGUAGCGGUGAAAUGCGUAGAUAUUAGGAGGAACACCGGUGGCGAAGGCGGCUUGCUGGACAAAUACUGACGCUGAGGUGCGAAAGCGUGGGGAGCAAACA
This 403-nucleotide ribosomal RNA is filed under the name uncultured Acetobacterium sp. Its description in RNAcentral is "bacterial SSU rRNA". It matches the Rfam family "Bacterial small subunit ribosomal RNA", at positions 356 to 774 of the family's 1533-position model. Lineage: Bacteria; Bacillati; Bacillota; Clostridia; Eubacteriales; Eubacteriaceae. The record is from RNAcentral.